This 459-nucleotide ribosomal RNA is filed under the name uncultured bacterium. RNAcentral describes it as "partial 16S ribosomal RNA". It matches the Rfam family "Bacterial small subunit ribosomal RNA", at positions 338 to 795 of the family's 1533-position model. The record is from RNAcentral.
CCUACGGGGGGCAGCAGUGAGGAAUAUUGGUCAAUGGCCGAGAGGCUGAACCAGCCAAGUCGCGUGAGGGAAGACUGCCCUACGGGUUGUAAACCUCUUUUGUCUGGGAGCAAAGCUAACCACGUGUGCUUCUUUGAGAGUACCCUAUGAAUAAGCAUCGGCUAACUCCGUGCCAGCAGCCGCGGUAAUACGGAGGAUCCGAGCGUUAUCCGGAUUUAUUGGGUUUAAGGGGUGCGUAGGCGGAGGUGCAAGUCAGCGGUAAAAUUGUGGGGCUCAACCCCGUACUGCCGUUGAAACUGCAUGCCUUGAGUGCGCGAGAGGUAGGCGGAAUGCGUGGUGUAGCGGUGAAAUGUAUAGAUAUCACGCAGAACUCCGAUUGCGAAGGCAGCAUACCGGCGCGCAACUGACGCUCAUGCACGAAAGCGUGGGUAUCGAACAGGAUUAGAUACCCGUGUAGUC